Molecule: long non-coding RNA, 1137 nt
Filed under: Homo sapiens (human)
Lineage: Eukaryota; Metazoa; Chordata; Mammalia; Primates; Hominidae
Description: HSALNT0405007
Source: RNAcentral
CUUUCUAAAAAAGUGAUGCCACGUUCAUGGGAUUAUUUCUUGAAAAUACUUGGCGGCCUCCAUGCUUCUGUUUUCUUUGAGUCAGAGACUUCAGAACCCACUCCUGAGAACAGCGGAGCCAGGCGCUUAGAGGAAGACCAAAUGCUGCCAGGACACGGAUUGUCCAGGGAUUACAUUCCAGCAUCUUAUUAGGCCUUCUGAGCUGCUUUCCAAGGAGGACUAACACGGCAACAAAAGAACCAUUUCUGCACAAAAAUCCUGGAAAGAAAAAGAAGCAAGCCGAGAAUGGAGUCAAAACGCUACCCAGUGCUGACUAAGCCUCUCAAACCCUGUUCUAAGUGGACUGUGGUUUCUAAGUCAGGGAAAUGGAAGAGGCCCCACCCACACAGGGACAGGGCCACGGCCCCCACAGGAUGAAGCAGCAGCGUUUAUUCAAGAUACAACAGUGAGGGAAUCCGGUCACGUUCCCUUCUCCCCAGAGAGGGCGCAUCUUGACAAGUGAUCGAGUAGAAAUCUUUUAAACUCUAAGUUAAGUUCAUAAAAACCACUGGUUUCACUCUGUCUCCCAGGGCCAGGCCUGGCCUCUGAGAUGCACUGGCUUGGGGCGCCCUCAGGUGGCUGCAUGGAAAACCCACAGUCUGAGGCCAGCCUGGGGCUUUCAGACCUGGGCGGGAUCUGCCCAGGCCACCUGUCCUUCUGCUUUGGGCCGCUGUCUCUUGGCAGAUGGCCUGACACCUGGGGGUGGCCCAAGGAUGCCUCAGAAAAUCUUGAUUCCCACUCUACAGAUAGCCUGAUUAGCCAGAGGUUUCCAGGCCAUCUGUCCGCCUCCAGGAGAUGGACUGGGACCUUUAGACAUCGGUGGAGAACAGGAUGCUCUGUCCCUUGCUGUCCGGGGCAGGGACGGCCUCCAGCCGCAAGAAGUACAGCAGCACCUCGACCUGCCCUCGCGGAGUGGGGAAGAGGAGAGUGGCUCAGAGGGGGGCUCACAGCUGCUGGUGGGGAGGUCUUUGGGGCCCAAGUCCCCAAGUCCACCUCAGGUGCUAGAAACCCCUGCUGGUGUCAUGAACCCCUUACAGUGAGACGGGGGUGGGGUGGGGUCCUGACAAGGCAUGACUUGUUGGGUGGGGGGUGGUUAUU